CCCUUAGAUGUCCGGGGCUGCACGCGCGCUACACUGACUGGCUCAGCGUGUGCCUACCCUACGCCGGCAGGCGCGGGUAACCCGUUGAACCCCAUUCGUGAUGGGGAUCGGGGAUUGCAAUUAUUCCCCAUGAACGAGGAAUUCCCAGUAAGUGCGGGUCAUAAGCUUGCGUUGAUUAAGUCCCUGCCCUUUGUACACACCGCCCGUCGCACCUACCGAUUGGAUGGUCCGGUGAAGCCUCGGGAUUGUGGUUCUUGCCGCUUUAUUGUGGCGUGACCGCGAGAACUUGUCUAAACCUUAUCAUCUAGAGGAAGGUGAAGUCGUAACA
Molecule: ribosomal RNA, 328 nt
Filed under: uncultured eukaryote
Lineage: Eukaryota
Description: partial 18S ribosomal RNA
Rfam family: Eukaryotic small subunit ribosomal RNA
Source: RNAcentral